ACUCCCUGGUGUGGAAGCUCGCGGGGCUGCUGCGGGAGUCCGGGGAUGUGGUCCUGUCUGGCUGUAGCACCCUGAGCCUGCUGACUCCCACACUGCAACAGCUGAACCACGUAUUUGAGCUGCACCUGGGGCCGUGGGGCCCUGGCCAGACAGGCUUUGUGGCUCUGCCCUCCCAUCCUGCCGACUCCCCUGUCAUUCUUCAGCUUCAGUUUCUCUUCGAUGUGCUGCAGAAAACGCUUUCACUCAAGCUGGUCCAUGUUGCUGGUCCUGGCCCCCCAGGGCCCAUCAAGAUUUUCCCCUUCAAAUCCCUUCGGCACCUGGAGCUCCGAGGUGUUCCCCUCCACUGUCUGCAUGGCCUCCGAGGCAUCUACUCCCAGCUGGAGACCCUGAUUUGCAGCAGGAGCCUCCAGGCAUUAGAGGAGCUCCUCUCAGCCUGCGGCGGCGACUUCUGCUCUGCCCUCCCUUGGCUGGCUCUGCUUUCUGCCAACUUCAGCUACAAUGCACUGACCGUCUUAGACAGCUCCCUGCGCCUCUUGUCAGCUCUGCGUUUCUUGAACCUAAGCCACAAUCAAGUCCAGGACUGCCAGGGAUUCCUGAUGGAUUUGUGUGAGCUUCACCAUCUGGACAUCUCCUAUAAUCGCCUGCAUUUGGUGCCAAGAAUGGGACCCUCAGGGGCUGCUCUGGGGGUCCUGAUACUGCGAGGCAACGAGCUUCGGAGCCUGCAUGGCCUGGAGCAGCUGAGGAAUCUGCGGCACCUGGAUUUGGCAUACAACCUGCUGGAAGGACACCGGGAGCUGUCACCACUGUGGCUGCUGGCUGAGCUCCGCAAGCUCUACCUGGAGGGGAACCCUCUUUGGUUCCACCCUGAGCACCGAGCAGCCACUGCCCAGUACUUGUCACCCCGGGCCAGGGAUGCUGCUACUGUCUUCCUUCUCGAUGGCAAGGUCUUGUCGCUGACAGAUUUUCAGACUCACACAUCCUUGGGGCUCAGCCCCACGGGCCCACCUUUGCCCUGGCCAGUGGGGAGUACUCCUGAAACCUCAGGUGGCCCUGACCUGAGUGACAGCCUCUCCUCAGGGGGUGUUGUGGCCCAGCCCCUGCUUCAUAAGGUUAAGAGCCGAGUCCGUGUGAGGCGGGCAAGCAUCUCUGAGCCCAGUGAUACGGACCCGGAGCCCCGAACUCUGAACCCCCCUCCGGCUGGAUGGUUCGUGCAGCAGCACCGGGAACUGGAGCUCAUGAGCAGCUUCCGGGAACGGUUCGGCCGCAACUGGCUGCAGUACAGGAGUCACCUGGAGCCCUCCGGAAACCCUCUGCCGGCCACCCCCACCACUCCUGCCCCCAGUGCACCUCCAGCCAGCUCCCAGGGCCCCGACACUGCACCCAGACCUUCACCCCUGCAGGAGGAAGCCAGAGGCCCCCGGGAGUCACCACAGAAAAUGUCAGAGGAGGUCAGGGCGGAGCCGAAGGAGGGGGAGGAGGAGAAGGAGGAGGGGGAGAUGGUGGAACAGGGAGAAGAGGAGGCAGGAGAGGAGGAAGAAGAGGAGCAGGACCAGAAGGAAGUGGAAGCGGAACUCUGUCGCCCCAUGUUGGUGUGUCCCCUGGAGGGGCCUGAGGGCGUGCGGGGCAGGGAAUGCUUUCUCAGGGUCACUUCUGCCCACCUGUUUGAGGUGGAACUCCAAGCAGCUCGCACCCUGGAGCGACUGGAGCUCCAGAGUCUGGAGGCAGCUGAGAUAGAGCCGGAGGCCCAAGCCCAGAGGUCGCCCAGGCCCACGGGCUCAGAUCUGCUCCCUGGAGCCCCCAUCCUCAGUCUGCGCUUCUCCUAUAUCUGCCCUGACCGGCAGUUGCGUCGCUAUUUGGUGCUGGAGCCUGAUGCCCACGCAGCUGUCCAGGAGCUGCUUGCCGUGUUGACCCCAGUCACCAGUGUGGCUCGGGAACAGCUUGGGGAGGCCAGGGACCUCCUGCUGGGUAGAUUCCAGUGUCUACGCUGUGGCCAUGAGUUCAAGCCAGAGGAGCCCAGGCUGGGAUUGGACAGUGAGGAAGGCUGGAGGCCUCUGUUCCUAAAGACAGGUACAAGUCCCUUGACCUCUCUGCCCACACGCCUCCCCUGUUCCAGGGAAAGUGGCUCUGUGUAGGGGAAUAUGAAGGGGGAGCCCCAGGGAGAAGGGCCUGGAGGAAAAAGAAAACCGCCUGCCUGCUGCAUUUAC
This 2204-nucleotide small RNA is filed under the name Pongo abelii (Sumatran orangutan). RNAcentral's name for it is "retained intron". The record is from RNAcentral. Lineage: Eukaryota; Metazoa; Chordata; Mammalia; Primates; Hominidae.